ACAAACAUGGCUACUAAAGUGUCAACAUUGGCAAGGGCUUGCCAGAAUCUGCAAAAGUCUGGAGUCCUAAGGCAAACGCCUAAUGUUUUAUUACUUCAAUCAAGAAAUGCAGCUGAACGCUCAGUAUCUGUACCAGGGUCCAUUCCAACUAGGCCAUUGAGAACGAAAUAUAGUCUCCCAUUGGUGCUUGGCUGCAUUACCUUUGGGAUUUAUGUUGGCCAGCAAGUAGCCAAACGUUUCGCAAUAUUCAUGGAAGAAACUGAGAUGUUUGUACCAGAUGAUGAUGACGAUUAAAUUAUUUAUAACAAGAAUCAGGCUGUGACAGAGGAACGCCGUUCUCAUUAGUGUAAAGGACUAGAUAGAAGGACAUUGAAAUAUCCAAUCUUCGCAUAUCAAACCUAUCCUGAAAACUUAUGAUUUGUUAUGCUACUUCACAUUACAUAGCAAAGAAUAGAAGGAUUUUGAUUUAAACUAAACAUGACUUGAACAAACAAUUUGAAAUCAUCUUACAAUGUUGCCAUGGCAGUGUGUAUUAAAGUUUGUGUAGCUAGGAGGGUGACAGUCAAAGACAAACACAAUCUUGUUUCUUUUGAUAUCCAUUUCUUACCACCAGUGUUAAAAUGUGUAUUUUGAAGUGAAGUGUCUAUUUGCACAACCUACUUUCAAGCGUUUCAUUCAAUAGUUUACAUUGCAAUACUUUUUGUACAGUUUUUACUUGUUUUGAUUAAGUAUUUUUAUGGCUCAAAUGUUCAGUUUACAUUAUUUAUCAUCAAUAUUUAUGGCUAAAUAUAAAAGAUCUGCAUAUUAUGAACGGUUUUCUUUAAUGUAAUAUUACAUGUAAGUGUAUUCUAAAAUGAAGUCAAGUGUAGUGAUCCGUCAGAUGUUUGCAUCUAGAUGAACGGUAAUCACUGACUCAGAUUAUUGUGUGAUACAAUGCGUACAUAUACAAUGCUCUUUAUUCUCAGAUGUUGUUUUUUGAAAAACUUAGCAUCUUUUUUAAUUGGUCAGUUUUUAAACUCCAAUAAAUUUGAAGAUGGUUAUAGGCAUCGACCUAUCUGUGAUUUAGGAAAAACACCUUGAACGUAGUAGCAAGGAUGGCAUGCAGUUUCUACAGCAAGUUUUCUGAAUUUUUGGUGUAUCUGUACCAAAUUUAUUAAGUAAUUACCCCUUCUGUACCAAAUAGGAUACUUGUUUACUUGAUGAAAAAUUAGCCCUGUAAUGUGAUAUAUUUUUUACAUUAUUAUACUAGAGGAUGCUCUGUCUAAGAAUGAUUUUGUCUUUCCAAACACUGGAGCAGUUUGCACAAAAGUAUAUCUAAGUUUAGUAUAUUCCUUAAUUGUCAGAUUACCUCCCAUUGAUUUGAAAAUAGAAGAAAAUUGAUCAUUUUACCAGUGAAUGGUUUUAUAUGGUUCUUUCCAUACUAUCUUUAGUUCAGUAUCGUUAUUAUCCCCCGCCUAUGAAAUAGGGAGGGGGAUAUUGAAAUGGCGUUGUCCGUCUGUCCUUCCGUCCGUCUGUCUUUCCUUCCGUCCGUCCUUCCUUCCGUCCGUCACCUGCAUUUUCUCAGUAACUAGCCGGUAUAAUUUCAUGAAACUUAAAAUAAAUAUGAACCACUAUACUGGAAUGAUGCCUGUCCAAAAAAAAAUUUGAUUGGUCAAUUGUCCUUGGAGUUAUUACCAGUCACCCUUGAUUUUUUGAAAAAUGCACAUUCACAGCCAUUUCUCAGUCACUAGCUGGCAGAAUUUCAUGAAACUUAAAAUAAAUAUGAAUUACUAUACUGGGAUGAUGCCUGUUCAUUUUUUUUUGGAUUGGUCAAUUGUAAUUUGAGUUAUUGCCCUUGAUUUUUUGAAAAACUCAUUUACAGCCAUUUCUCAGUAACUAGUUGGUAGAAAUUCUUGAAACUUGAAAUAAAUAUGAACCAACUUACUGCGAUGAUGCCUGUUAAUUUAUAUUUUGGAUUGUGUAAUUUCUGUAUGAGUUAUUUGCCCUUGAUUUAUUAAAAGAUCCAUGUUUGCAGCCUUUUCUAUGCAACUAGCUGGUAGAAUUUCAUGACACUUGGAAUAAAUAAGAACCAACAUACUGUGAUGAUGCCUGUCUAUUUAUCUUUUGGAUUGGUCAAUUUUCCUUAGAGUUAUUGCCCUUGAUUUAUUAAAAAAUCAUUGUUUGCAGCCGUUUCUCAGUAAAACCAAUGUGCUUAUCUUAUUCUUUCUGAGAUUUUUUUUAACCUUCAAGCACAAACAAGCCAUCAAGCACAAACAAGCCAUCGUUGGCGGGGGAUAUCUUUUCACUGAAAAUGCUUGUUAAACAUGAUUUGCUUUGCUUUAUGGGACAUGGUUUCGGAAAAAAGUGUUGUUUAUUAUGUUUAAAUAUUUGUUUCUGGAUAAAUUAAAGGUCAUUUGAAUCCGUAGACCAAAUCAUCAAUUUGGUGUGGCUUUAACUACCUUUUCAUUAAGACCUUCCCAUUGUAAUUGCAUUGCUUGAAGUGGGAAUUUGUUAAAAUUAAAAAGUUGAAAUGUUUAAAUAAGCCAUAAUUAUGAACACAUUUAUUUAAAAUUAUAAGACGUUGCUCUCUCACCUGUACCAUACUAAAUUACAGUUAAACAUGUUUUAUAUUUGAGAUCGCUUUUAUUGAAAUUAUUUUUAUUCAAAUUCUGGGCGACUUAGUUAAAAUGAAACUAAUUCUCUCCUGAUUUUAAAACACCCCAAUAUGAGACAUUUUCACUACAUUGUGUAUGUUGCACAUGGGGACCGAGCAUUCCUACAUAUAAUGAUUGUUUACCUAUUAAAAUUAUAAUUGCUUUUUUCAUAUUUAUUUCAUAUAAAAUGUUAGGUGACCAAUUAAGUAGGUUGUUCAGUGUAUUUUUUAUAGAUUUGUAUGUAGGUUUUGGUUGGGAAGCAUGCAAAGCAGGACAAUACUUAAAUGGAUCAGAUCAUCCAAACCAGGGAUUAUUUUCUAAUGGAAAUAUUUUGAAGACUUAACAUUAUAUUUUUGUACACUGAAAAAUAUUGGUAUGUUUUGUUUAAGCUCUAGGAAGAUAUAAAUACACUGCGGCGUAGUCAUAAAAUUAGUAGGCAUGUAUUGCAAAAGUGUUUUCGCUUUAAAAGGUGUUAGGCAUUGUUUUUCAGUUGUAGUGUGUUGUUGUCCAAGGUUUUGUUUUGUUUGUGGUCUCUUUUACCUAAUUUCAUUAUGAUAUCCUUACAAGUGUUUUAUAUUAUUUAUUACUCCAAGAAACUAUAAACUUUGUUAGUAAUUAAAAACUUAAAUAGC
Long non-coding RNA from Mya arenaria, 3265 nucleotides. RefSeq lists it as uncharacterized. The transcript has 2 exons. NCBI's taxonomy places the organism in Eukaryota, Metazoa, Mollusca, Bivalvia, Myida, Myidae. The record is from RefSeq and is a predicted model, not a curated record.